GACGAACGCUGGCGGCGUGCUUAACACAUGCAAGUCGUACGGUAAGGCCCUUUCGGGGGUACACGAGUGGCGAACGGGUGAGUAACACGUGAGUAACCUGCCCACAACUUUGGGAUAACGCUAGGAAACUGGUGCUAAUACUGGAUAUGUGCUCCUGCUGCAUGGUGGGGGUUGGAAAGCUCCGGCGGUUGUGGAUGGACUCGCGGCCUAUCAGCUUGUUGGUGGGGUAGUGGCCUACCAAGGCGGCGACGGGUAGCCGGCCUGAGAGGGUGACCGGCCACAUUGGGACUGAGAUACGGCCCAGACUCCUACGGGAGGCAGCAGUGGGGAAUAUUGCACAAUGGGUGCAAGCCUGAUGCAGCAACGCCGCGUGCGGGAUGACGGCCUUCGGGUUGUAAACCGCUUUCAGCAGGGACGAAGCUUUUUGUGACGGUACCUGCAGAAGAAGCACCGGCUAACUACGUG
This 465-nucleotide ribosomal RNA is filed under the name uncultured bacterium. RNAcentral's name for it is "partial 16S ribosomal RNA". It matches the Rfam family "Bacterial small subunit ribosomal RNA", at positions 28 to 507 of the family's 1533-position model. The record is from RNAcentral.